Molecule: ribosomal RNA, 358 nt
Filed under: uncultured bacterium
Lineage: Bacteria
Description: partial 16S ribosomal RNA
Rfam family: Bacterial small subunit ribosomal RNA
Source: RNAcentral
CCUACGGGAGGCAGCAGUGGGGAAUAUUGGGCCAUGGAGGCAACUCUGACCCAGCAACGCCGCGUUAAUGAUGAAGGUCUUCGGAUUGUAAAGUUCUGUGAUGGGGGAUGAACACAAUGACGGUACCCCAAUAGCAAGCCACGGCUAACUACGUGCCAGCAGCCGCGGUAAUACGUAGGUGGCAAGCGUUCUCCGGAAUGACUGGGCGUAAAGGGUGCGUAGUUGGUUUAGUAAGUUGGCGGUGUAAGUCCGGGGCUAAACCUCGGCGCUACCGCCAAAACUAUUAGACUAGAGUGCAGGGGGGGUAAGUGGAAGUCCGGGUGUAGCGGUGGAAUGCAUAGAUAUUAGGAAGAACAUC